This 512-nucleotide ribosomal RNA is filed under the name Enterococcus sp. M2-C1. RNAcentral's name for it is "bacterial SSU rRNA". It matches the Rfam family "Bacterial small subunit ribosomal RNA", at positions 1 to 493 of the family's 1533-position model. Lineage: Bacteria; Bacillati; Bacillota; Bacilli; Lactobacillales; Enterococcaceae. The record is from RNAcentral.
UGAGCUUGAUCCUGGCUCAGGACGAACGCUGGCGGCGUGCCUAAUACAUGCAAGUCGAACGCUUUUUCUUUCACCGGAGCUUGCUCCACCGAAAGAAAAAGAGUGGCGAACGGGUGAGUAACACGUGGGUAACCUGCCCAUCAGAAGGGGAUAACACUUGGAAACAGGUGCUAAUACCGUAUAACACUAUUUUCCGCAUGGAAGAAAGUUGAAAGGCGCUUUUGCGUCACUGAUGGAUGGACCCGCGGUGCAUUAGCUAGUUGGUGAGGUAACGGCUCACCAAGGCAACGAUGCAUAGCCGACCUGAGAGGGUGAUCGGCCACACUGGGACUGAGACACGGCCCAGACUCCUACGGGAGGCAGCAGUAGGGAAUCUUCGGCAAUGGACGAAAGUCUGACCGAGCAACGCCGCGUGAGUGAAGAAGGUUUUCGGAUCGUAAAACUCUGUUGUUAGAGAAGAACAAGGAUGAGAGUAAAAUGUUCAUCCCUUGACGGUAUCUAACCAGAAGCCG